Molecule: ribosomal RNA, 548 nt
Filed under: Acinetobacter baumannii
Lineage: Bacteria; Pseudomonadati; Pseudomonadota; Gammaproteobacteria; Moraxellales; Moraxellaceae
Also listed under: 1 other name
Description: partial 16S ribosomal RNA
Rfam family: Bacterial small subunit ribosomal RNA
Source: RNAcentral
UCCUUUGACAACUCUAGAGAUAGAGCCUUCCCCUUCGGGGGACAAAGUGACAGGUGGUGCAUGGUUGUCGUCAGCUCGUGUCGUGAGAUGUUGGGUUAAGUCCCGCAACGAGCGCAACCCUUAAGCUUAGUUGCCAUCAUUAAGUUGGGCACUCUAAGUUGACUGCCGGUGACAAACCGGAGGAAGGUGGGGAUGACGUCAAAUCAUCAUGCCCCUUAUGAUUUGGGCUACACACGUGCUACAAUGGACAAUACAAAGGGCAGCGAAACCGCGAGGUCAAGCAAAUCCCAUAAAGUUGUUCUCAGUUCGGAUUGUAGUCUGCAACUCGACUACAUGAAGCUGGAAUCGCUAGUAAUCGUAGAUCAGCAUGCUACGGUGAAUACGUUCCCGGGUCUUGUACACACCGCCCGUCACACCACGAGAGUUUGUAACACCCGAAGCCGGUGGAGUAACCUUUUAGGAGCUAGCCGUCGAAGGUGGGACAAAUGAUUGGGGUGAAGUCGUAACAAGGUAGCCGUAUCGGAAGGUGCGGCUGGAUCACCUCCUUU